Molecule: ribosomal RNA, 804 nt
Filed under: uncultured bacterium
Lineage: Bacteria
Description: SSU rRNA
Rfam family: Bacterial small subunit ribosomal RNA
Source: RNAcentral
UGAAAUCCCCAGAAGCUUUAACUUCUGGAACUGCCAUUAAAACUUUUCAGCUAGAGUUUGAUAGAGGAAAGCAGAAUUUCUAGUGUAGAGGUGAAAUUCGUAGAUAUUAGAAAGAAUACCAAUUGCGAAGGCAGCUUUCUGGAUCAUUACUGACACUGAGGAACGAAAGCAUGGGUAGCGAAGAGGAUUAGAUACCCUCGUAGUCCAUGCCGUAAACGAUGUGUGUUAGACGUUGGAAAUUUAUUUUCAGUGUCGCAGCGAAAGCGAUAAACACACCGCCUGGGGAGUACGACCGCAAGGUUAAAACUCAAAUGAAUUGACGGGGACCCGCACAAGUAGUGGAGCAUGUGGUUUAAUUCGAAGAUACGCGCAGAACCUUACCAACACUUGACAUGUUCGUCGCGACUCUAAGAGAUUAGAGUUUUCGGUUCGGCCGGACGAAACACAGGUGCUGCAUGGCUGUCGUCAGCUCGUGUCGUGAGAUGUUGGGUUAAGUCCCGCAACGAGCGCAACCCUCACUUUUAGUUGCCAUCAUUAAGUUGGGCACUCUGAAAGAACUGCCAGUGAUAAGCUGGAGGAAGGUGGGGAUGACGUCAAGUCCUCAUGGCCCUUACGUGUUGGGCUACACACGUGCUACAAUGGUAUCUACAACAGGAAGCAAGACUGCGAGGUCAAGCAAAUCCUUAAAAGAUACCUCAGUUCGGAUUGCACUCUGCAACUCGAGUGCAUGAAGCUGGAAUUACUAGUAAUCGUGGAUCAGCGUGCCACGGUGAAUGCGUUCCCGGCUUUUGCACACACCGCCCG